AAGGGUAUAGCUCUAGCGAUAGAGUGCAUGCUUAGCAUGUACGAGGUCCUGGGUUCAAUUCCCAGUACCUCCU
RNAcentral lists this transfer RNA (73 nucleotides) under Camelus bactrianus (Bactrian camel). It matches the Rfam family "tRNA". From Rfam's summary of the family: Transfer RNA (tRNA) molecules are approximately 80 nucleotides in length. Their secondary structure includes four short double-helical elements and three loops (D, anti-codon, and T loops). Further hydrogen bonds mediate the characteristic L-shaped molecular structure. tRNAs have two regions of fundamental functional importance: the anti-codon, which is responsible for specific mRNA codon recognition, and the 3' end, to which the tRNAs corresponding amino acid is attached (by aminoacyl-tRNA synthetases). tRNAs cope with the degeneracy of the genetic code in two manners: having more than one tRNA (with a specific anti-codon) for a particular amino acid; and 'wobble' base-pairing, i.e. permitting non-standard base-pairing at the 3rd anti-codon position. The record is from Rfam by way of RNAcentral. Lineage: Eukaryota; Metazoa; Chordata; Mammalia; Artiodactyla; Camelidae. RNAcentral also lists the same sequence under 2 other names.